CGUGUGUGUGUGUGUGUGUGUGUGUGUGUGUGUGCAAGCUCACGUGCAUGCACA
Molecule: microRNA precursor, 54 nt
Filed under: Echinops telfairi (small Madagascar hedgehog)
Lineage: Eukaryota; Metazoa; Chordata; Mammalia; Afrosoricida; Tenrecidae
Description: miRNA (ENSETEG00000023862.1)
Source: RNAcentral